Equus quagga is the source of this 569-nucleotide long non-coding RNA. RefSeq lists it as uncharacterized. Lineage: Eukaryota; Metazoa; Chordata; Mammalia; Perissodactyla; Equidae. The transcript is spliced from 3 exons. The record is from RefSeq and is a predicted model, not a curated record.
CAAGCGAACGAGGAAAGCGCGAGACUCAAAUCCAGGGGAGUCGGCCGCGGCGGCAGUGGCGGCAAAGGAGAAGACUCCAGGCCCGGUCUGCCUGCGCACGCGCAGAGGCACCCAAGCGGCGCGGCGUCUCUAGGUUCGUCAUUAGACCGAGUCCUCCCUCAAACACGGCAUUUUUUCAUAUGUCACUCUCGUUCCCUGUAUGGUGCUGACUACUUAUUAGAUCUUCUUGGCCUUUACUGACACUAAUGGAAUGAAGAUUUUACAUUCUACUUGGAAGUAUCAUAAGGUGCCUGAAAUGAGCUUCUUUCAAGGCAUUACUUAAACUGAACUGAAGAACUGAUGAAUAAUAAUUGAUGCAUCAGAAUUGCCUUCAUUAUGGAGGUAGCAUUUGAGCUAAGCUUUGAAAAUGAAGAUUUCCGCAAGCAGAGAAGCCCAUAAAUCACUAAUAACCACUUUUAAAAUGCCUCUUCCUUCUUGCUUCCAACUGAGUUCCUUGUGUGGAUAAGCGUCUUUAGUUAAAGGAGUCUUUAUCUCUCUCCUCACCAGAAGAGACUUCAAAGACAGGUAGU